Molecule: ribosomal RNA, 717 nt
Filed under: Triticum aestivum (bread wheat)
Lineage: Eukaryota; Viridiplantae; Streptophyta; Magnoliopsida; Poales; Poaceae
Description: partial small subunit ribosomal RNA
Source: RNAcentral
AUGAAUGACCGGCGGGUACUUCUACGGCGCAAUGUCGAGACUAAACAUGUGGUGGUGCUGUUUUCUUCAAUCAUGGAGUUCAAUCUGUCCCAGAUUUGGGUCCUCGCCGGCUCAUUUGAAAAUGAUCUCAACACCAUCGAAGCCAGGUGGCAGAUGAACUGGCAAUGGAUGUACGGUGACAGACACACCUCCGAGUACAUUAAGGGCUUGCAUGAUUUCCUCGAAGUGGCUGAGGCAAACAAGCAGAAUGGUUUUAUGUGUUGUCCAUGCCCUAUAUGUGGGAAUACGAAGUCUUACUCUGACCGGAAAAUCCUUCACACCCACCUGCUUUACAAGGGUUUCAUGCCACACUAUAAUGUUUGGACGAGGCACGGAGAAAUAGGGGUUAUGAUGGAAGACAGCGAAGAAGAAGAGGACGAUGACAACUAUGUGCCCCCUGAAUACGGUGAUGCUGCAACGGGGGAAGCUGCUGAAGAUCAAGAGGAACCAGACGAUGUGCCCAAUGAUGCUGCAAAGGGGGAAGCUGCUGAAGAUCAAGAGGAACCAGUGCCCGAUGAUGAUGAUCUUCGCCGGGUCAUAGUCGAUGCAAGGACGCGAUGCGAAAGUCAAAAGGAGAAGCUGAAGUUCGAUCGCAUGUUAGAGGAUCACAAAAAAGGGUUGUACCCCAAUUGCGAAGAUGGCAACACAAAGCUCGGUACCGUACUGGAAUUGCUGUAG